Molecule: unclassified non-coding RNA, 520 nt
Filed under: Athalia rosae (coleseed sawfly)
Lineage: Eukaryota; Metazoa; Arthropoda; Insecta; Hymenoptera; Athaliidae
Description: misc RNA ENSAEAG00005011732.1
Source: RNAcentral
UGAGCUGGUUCAAGUUCUCCUGCAAAAUGCCUCGGCAUGGCUCUAGUUUGGUUUGGAUGAUAGACUGGGGCUCUUACGACAAGGAUCCUUGAAGCUUAGGCAAACACCGAAGCACGACAAGUGUAGACUCCUGAGCAAAGAGAAUCUGAAGAAUAAAUUGAGUCGACGAGAAUGUUACUCUGUCAGAUCUGAGAGGAUAACUGGGUUCAUAAUGUCGCCGUGUAUACAAAGUAUAAUUGUAGGCGCCACAGCAAAACGAGAGGGUUGUAGGCAAGGGAUGCUCAAAUCAAACGAUCGUGGACUAACUUGGAGAAGAAAACUGUGGCGAUGAGGUUGUACUGGAGGAAAAAUUGCCACCUCUCCUUCAACUUGCAGAUUCCAUUCGCAAAGUCCUGAGAGGAGGAUGUUGAACUGAUUUCUGUACGCUACUUAUCCCGUAUCAUUCAUGUCUGGUGUAAAGAGCCUGGUUAGAGCAUUUCUUUAUCGGAAAUCCGAUUCCUGAUACAAAAUUGAAUUUUCG